RNAcentral lists this ribosomal RNA (513 nucleotides) under uncultured bacterium. RNAcentral's name for it is "bacterial SSU rRNA". It matches the Rfam family "Bacterial small subunit ribosomal RNA", at positions 791 to 1304 of the family's 1533-position model. The record is from RNAcentral.
UAGUCCACGCAGUAAACGAUGAGUGCUAAACUUUGGGAAUUUUAUUUUCAAUAUUGAAGCUAACGCGUUAAGCACUCCGCCUGGGGAGUACGGUCGCAAGACUAAAACUCAAAGGAAUUGACGGGGGCCUGCACAAGCGGUGGAGCAUGCGGUUUAAUUCGAUGUCACGCGAAAAACCUUACCAACCCUUGACAUGUUGGUUGUAGAAAACAGAGAUGUAUUCUUUCAGUUCGGCUGGACCAAACACAGGUGUUGCACGGCUGUCGUCAGCUCGUGUCGUGAGAUGUUGGGUUAAGUCCCGCAACGAGCGCAACCCCUACUUUUAUUUGCCAUCAGGUAAUGCUGGGGACUAUAAAAGAACUGCUAGUGUAAGCUAGAGGAAGGUGGGGGCGACGUCAUGUCAUCAUGGCCCUUAUGGGUUGGGCUACACGCGUGCUACAAUGGUAACUACAGAGAGCAGCAAGGCGGAGACGCGGAGCCAAUCUUCAAAGUUAUCUCAGUUCGGAUUGGACU